GGAUGUGAGGGUGAUCUGGCUGUGAUGUCUAUCACCCCAUGGAUUGCCAGGGUUGAUACCUCUGAUCUGACUGGCUGGGCAGGUGUCCCCUUCCUCCCACACUGCUCUAUGUAUGUCCCUCCCGAAGCACAGCUUCAUGGAAUAGAGGAGGACUGGUCUUUGGUCAAGGGUUUACGAGUAGCUGAACUUUCCUGCUAGAACCUCCUAACAAGCUCUGAAGCUGUAUGUGUAUUCUAUAUGGCUUCAUUAGAACAUUGGACAUCAAGGUCCACCACGGCUAAGCCCAGACUGGGUAUGGACGUAUUU
Molecule: unclassified non-coding RNA, 306 nt
Organism: Cricetulus griseus (Chinese hamster)
Lineage: Eukaryota; Metazoa; Chordata; Mammalia; Rodentia; Cricetidae
Gene: 7SK
Rfam family: 7SK RNA
About the family: 7SK was discovered as an abundant small nuclear RNA in the mid-70s but a possible function has only recently been suggested. Two independent studies have found that 7SK RNA binds the CDK9/cyclin T complex (known as elongation factor P-TEFb).
Source: Ensembl